This 72-nucleotide transfer RNA is filed under the name Roseomonas mucosa. Its description in RNAcentral is "tRNA-Val". It matches the Rfam family "tRNA". Rfam says of the family: Transfer RNA (tRNA) molecules are approximately 80 nucleotides in length. Their secondary structure includes four short double-helical elements and three loops (D, anti-codon, and T loops). Further hydrogen bonds mediate the characteristic L-shaped molecular structure. tRNAs have two regions of fundamental functional importance: the anti-codon, which is responsible for specific mRNA codon recognition, and the 3' end, to which the tRNAs corresponding amino acid is attached (by aminoacyl-tRNA synthetases). tRNAs cope with the degeneracy of the genetic code in two manners: having more than one tRNA (with a specific anti-codon) for a particular amino acid; and 'wobble' base-pairing, i.e. permitting non-standard base-pairing at the 3rd anti-codon position. Lineage: Bacteria; Pseudomonadati; Pseudomonadota; Alphaproteobacteria; Acetobacterales; Roseomonadaceae. The record is from RNAcentral.
GGGCGCUUAGCUCAGCGGUAGAGCGCCUCGUUUACACCGAGGAUGCCGGGGGUUCAGAUCCCUCAGCGCCCA